Molecule: RNA transcript, 3350 nt
Organism: Lotus japonicus
Lineage: Eukaryota; Viridiplantae; Streptophyta; Magnoliopsida; Fabales; Fabaceae
Gene name: alkylbase DNA glycosidase-like protein mag2
Exons: 5
Source: RefSeq, a predicted model, not a curated record
GUUGGGUAGAGAAAAAUGUGAGAUUUAGCGUUCGCGAAUCCGAUGCAAAAUUUCUCGCCCAUGUCCUGACUUUUUCGUACAUACACAUGAUUUGUGUCGGGUCCAACCGUCCUCCACAUACUAGUGGAGUUAGCGUCGCAAUACAACCGCCACUAACUUCCCCAUGUAGGACGCCAACAUGGUUGGUGAUCUUCAUGUGAGCAAUAAAGGAAGAUUAGGCCCAAUGGUUGAGUUUGGCAAUUCUUCAUCAACUCAAUUUUGAUUUUUGACCGGUAUGAAGCGAACACGAUCCCAAACAAAACCCUAUUCAAAUCCAAACGAUUCACUUUCCUCUUCCAAAAUCUCCUUCCGCGCGCGAAAAAUCCGACGAACCCCCCUCAUCACCAACAAAAACCCUAACCCAGAACCAGAGACUUCAUCAAAACCCUCUCCCACCACCAUCUCAAAGCCGUUAACCGCCACCGGCGAAAUCGAAGCCGCCCUCAACCACCUCCGCGCCGCCGAUCCCCUCUUAGCCAACUGCAUCGACUCUCUCCCUCCUCCUCACUUCUCAAACGACGUCGUCGUCACCCCCUUCUUCUCCCUCACGAAGAGCAUCAUCUCCCAGCAACUCUCCAACAAAGCAGCCUCCGCCAUCGAAUCCCGCUUCGUCUCCCUCUGCGGCGGCCGCGAUUCGGUUCUCCCCGACGUCGUUUUGUCCUUGUCUCCCGUUCAGCUCCGGCAGGUUGGAAUCUCCGGACCCAAAGCGACUUACCUCCACGACCUCGCCACCAAGUACAUCGAUGGGAUUCUCUCGGAUUCUACUAUCCUGCAAAUGGACGAUGAGACGCUGCACGAGAAGCUUACCUUGGUUAAGGGAAUUGGGCCUUGGUCUGUUCACAUGUUCAUGAUUUUCACGCUUCACCGCCCUGAUGUUCUUCCUGUUGGGGACCUCGUUGUUCGGAGAGGAGUGGAGCGAUUGUAUGGACUUAAGGCAUUGCCUGCUCCUUCCCUGAUGGAACGAUUGUGCCAGAAAUGGAAGCCUUAUAGCUCUGUUGCCUCUUGCUACAUGUAUAAGUUUAUGGAUGCUAAAGGGGUGUUGCCAUUGCCAGCCACCACUAUCACAGAUCAUCAACAGAUGGGUGGUGGGGAGUGAUCCUCUUACUGUGACAAAUAAAGGGACGGAUGUAGAUAAGAAUUCUCCUCAGAUGGCAAGUGAGAUCUUCUCUAUUCCCAUUGCUGUCCUAUGUCAAGAUUGUAAUGGUGGGAUAGAGAUUCAGACACAUUUUGAGGACAUAAGAUUUCAACGCAGAGGGAUACAUGGAGGAUUAAAGUAAGAGUCAUUCGAGUAUGGGAGAUGUGCCCAGUUUCUGAACCAUCAAAACCAUAUGCAAUGAGUUUGCAGUAGAAAUAGUGCAGCCAAGCAUAUGACAAGAUAAACUGUCUACCCUUUUAAUUUUCAGCACUGGGGCUUAUACCAGUUUUAUAAUUUUCUUUCAAUUUGAAUGUAUUGAUUGUGUUUUAUUCAAGAUUGCAUUUUUGUUCACUAGCAACUACGAGACAGGACUGUCAAAAAAAAAAUACUACGAGACAGUGUCCUCUUAUGGUGAACCCAGGAGUUUAUGUCGAGGCUAGGAACAGGAGAAAUAUCAUAUUGAACCGAAAAAUUUGCAAAAGCUGAAGUAUUUCAAACUUCAAACCCACCAUGAUUACUGACAUACGACAACGUCAGUAUGAGAAGAUUGGAAUCGGAAGCAGUUACUUUUUUAGACUUGAUGGUGGUAGCAUGGUUAGUACCUAAGUAGAGUAAUAUGUAAAUUUUAGAUUUUGAAAGUUUGAAGUCUAAGAUUUUUGUUUUUCGUUUGUGGGGGAUGUGUCCUAUUGGUGAUUCCUCAAAACUAUGCUAUGCAUCUCGUCCUAAAUGAUGCAGAGGUUAUAUUUUUGGCAUGUUAUUGUUUUAUAGUUUUCUGUCCUACAAUUACUACAUUCAUUUACAGGGUGUGAAAAUUGAGGCUUCCAUCAAGAAAAAUCACAUUAGUAAAUACGUAAGUGACUUGGCUGAAAAUUGAUUUGGAUCUUUUUUUUUCCUUGCUGCAUUUUCACAUGCUGAAAUACAUGGGAGUACAGGAAAAUAACGAGAGAAGGUAUUCUCUUCAAUGUGUUUAUUUAGUUGGAAUUGCCUAUAAAUACUGCAAGAAUUGUUUUGUUAAUUCUCAUUCCAUCUUGCAUUGCACUAGAAUUUAAUCAUUCCUGUCUCUCAUAUUCCAUCCUUUCAUUUGUUUGUCAUGAUUUAUAUGAUUUAUUAGAACUGAAACAAAAUCAAUGGCAUCAAGGGGGUUGGGAUUGGUGGUCUAGCUUGCUCAUUCCCCCCCCCCCCCCCUCCCCCUUUUGGCUGCUACAUUUGAUGCAGUUGGCAGUAUUGGCUGGGAGUUUUAUUUUUCCUUUCUUAGGCUUGUGUUUCUCUGGCCUCUUGAAGGAGAACACAGGUACAAUAAAUAGGUAAUAUGUAGUGUGGUAUAUGUAUGUAAAACUAUAAAGAGCUAUGAUAUAUCGAGGUCCUUGAUGAUCCUAAUUAUUUACCGGUCAUUUUCGUGAGUAGUGUGUCAUUGAAUAAUAUACAAAUAAAGGACUACUAUUUCUCAUAGUUGAACUCAAUAUAUAUCUUGAAAAUUCAAUUGCAGAAUAAAUUACACAUAUAGUUUUUAAUUUGAAUUUAGUGUCGUAUAAGGUUGUAUUGUUGUUCAUAUAUUUAUUUGAUUUGAUUUGAAGCUAUGCAACAAAAAUAAGUUGUUGAAUUCAGACUAUCCUUUGUUUUAUUAUUUGGUCUAGAAGGUGUCUUACUUCACUGUUGUGCCUAACUCUGGAUCAUAAUGAUCAAAAUUAUAACAAGUUGGUUUUCGAGUUGAAAGCUAAAAUGUCACAAUCCAUAUUUGAAUGGAUACCAUAGUUUGGUGUGUUGGUUCUAUGGAUUUUGAGCCAUAAUUUUUUUGUAGGUGUUAAUCUUUCAAAUGUGACUGCAGGCAGGUCGUUCUUUAGAUAGCUAAUUUUUUGCUCCUUGACUAUGAGGUGUCUACGAGGGAAACACAUUACAACACCUUGAGAGAGCAAACUCCAUAAUAUUGGGAUAGUGUAGGCAUACUUAAUUAUUUAAGUUUCAGAUUCUAGAAUUCGGUAUUGUUUUAAUAUGAAAGUAAUACUUAGGAUCUAUCAAGGAGCUCGCUCUGAUAUUGUACACAGAUAUUCUCACUUCAAGUUAGGUUUUUCAGCUACUUAUGUGGCGGCAUGGUUGAGUUACUAGGAUAUUGGAAUUGUUGUUGGGCUUGUGAGAAUGCAUUUUCAUGAUUGUUUAUUAUAGCAUUUAUUUCUUAUCA